This is a long non-coding RNA of Girardinichthys multiradiatus, 1386 nucleotides long. RefSeq lists it as uncharacterized. The transcript is spliced from 2 exons. NCBI's taxonomy places the organism in Eukaryota, Metazoa, Chordata, Actinopteri, Cyprinodontiformes, Goodeidae. The record is from RefSeq and is a predicted model, not a curated record.
GUUGACUGAAAGAUCUCAAAAACCAACACAUCAUCCCACAACUUAAAGAAAUUUAAGAAUGGAUGAGAAACGCAGUUACUGUGUCUGGAAAGCUAUUUAUAAGGCUUUGGGACUCCGGUGAGUCACAGUGAUAAUAGCCGUAAUUCCCAAAUGGAGAAACAACAGAACAGUGGUGAAUCUUCCCAGGAGUGGUCAGCCUACAAAACGCCAACCGUUCACCAAAGCACCACAGGCCCACUUGGGCAAAUACUUUUUCACGUGGAAGCGGACUGUGGUUUCUGUGUGAUGAUGGUACCAGGCCACAUCGCCGCCCCACUCCAACUAUCUCCUUUGUUUUUCAUACUAUUGCCUCCUCUUCCUCCUGGGACAGAGCAUGCCUUAUGUUUUACUCCUCAAGCUUGCUGUCUCUGUAAACUGAGCUCAUUUAUGCUUUUUAUUGAGAUAAUUUGUUUUGCUCAUCUUGAAGAGGUUCAGUUUUAACUUUAAUUUAUUGUCUCAAACCUUAAACCCAGUUUAAAUUGUGGUGAGACUGAAGAUUUCUUUUGAUUCAUAUUGUUUUCAAAAAGUCUUAACAUUAACCCCAUUUUAUGAUGAUGCUGUCAAUAGGUUUCUUUCUCAGCCUGACAAUAUAUAGACCAAUGUGGAGUGAGCAAUGUCAACAUUGUUAGCAUACCACCCAUUGUCUAAGCCCUCAUCUGAGAAGUGUACUCAGGGACUCCUGGAUCCAAAUAAAGUAUGACAAAUCCCCUACUGUGUACUUUACAGCUCAGAAAUAACCCCUGCAUUAAAAAUAUAGAGGUUCAGAAGCUUCCUGGCUUUAUAUUCAGAGAAUAAUGUUAAAGUAUGUCAUGGCAGGUGUUGGUAAUAGAGAUGUAUUGAAUAUAGACUUCAGAAGAAAAUGUCAUAUUGACUCAAAGAUGGAGACAGAUGAGUGAAAGAGGGGAGAAGGGGGUAGGGUGUGAAUGUUAGCCAUUACCUAAGCAAUGGUUUCAAUUUGUAUGUACUUCACUCCUUGAAGGCAGGAACUAGACAUGCUGGAAGACAUCUUGUAAUAAACACAAAUAUAAAGGCUCAAAUUAUAAAUUUUAUAUUCAAAAAGUCACAUCCUAAGACACUGAUGCUAACCCGCUUUGUUUCCUUGGCUGCUUGUGUCUUAAAGAGUGUUGAUCCGAUUUAUUACGUUUAUUAUGGAAACCUAUUUUAGCACAGCUAAUUUUUUUUCAACUGUCAAUUUCCUUUUUGUAGAUAAACUGAUAUUGCAGUUUUUUUUUAAAGUGUGCAUUAUGCAGUUGCUCAAUCUUUCACUCUAUAAAGAGGAAGUCUCACAUUCUUCUUCUUAUGACUCUUGCUUCACUUUGGUAUUAAUGUUUGUGAUGAGACCUUUUG